Molecule: long non-coding RNA, 435 nt
Filed under: Monodelphis domestica (gray short-tailed opossum)
Lineage: Eukaryota; Metazoa; Chordata; Mammalia; Didelphimorphia; Didelphidae
Description: lncRNA (ENSMODG00000031729.2)
Source: RNAcentral
AUGGCAUUAAUAUCUAUGGAUACAUUUGCUGAAUUUCUGGAACGUGAUUUGAAUUUGCCUUAUUUCCCUAGAGGCGUGCCACUCCAGGAGUCUCCCUUGGUGUUGGUUGAGAUUUUUGUGGGACUUGCUGGUCAUGGGGAAUGUGAACAACCAACGCCAUGGAGGGUGGGGCAGUGGAAAAACCUCCAGAUUCAUAGUAUCCUUCUCAGAAGACCAGGGCUGGGAAUGCUGUAUGGAGGGGACAGAAGUAGCCCACCAUUAUUCACAUCGGCCUCAUGCAGAGACUACCCUAAGGAAGCAAGGUCCCUUCCAUUCCUCAUCAGAAAACAGUGGAAUAAGCCCAGGCUUCAUGGCUGCACAGUGUUUUGGGGCUUGAUGCAAUCAGCACAUUGUCAUCAGCAAAGAGGAGCAUCUGGAGCACCAUACUAUCUAUAG